CAUUGACUACAGCUCAGCGUUCAACACCAUAGUGCCCUCAAACCUCAUCAAUAAGCUAAGGACCCUGGGACUAAACACCUCUCUCUGCAACUGGAUCCUGGACUUCCUGACGGGCCGCCUCCAGGUGGUAAGGGUAGGUAAUAAAACAUCAGCCACGACUGCACCGCCAGGCACGACUCCAACACUAUCAUUAAGUUUGCUGAUGACACAACAGUAGUAGGCCUGAUCACGACAACGACGAGACAGCCUAUAGAGAGGAGGUCAGAGACCCUGCUGUGUGGUGACAGGACAACAACCUCUCCCUCAAUGUGAUCAAGUCAAAGGAGAUGAUUGUGGACUACAGGAAAAGCACGCCCUCAUUCUCAUCGACGGGACUGUAUUGGAGCAGGUUGAGAGCUUCAAGUUCCUUGGUGUCCAAAUCACCAACAAACUAAAAUGGUCCAAGCACACCAAGACAGUCGUGAGUGAAGAGGGCACGACAAAACCUAUUCCCCCUCAGGAGACUGAAAAGAUUUGGCAUGGGUCCUCAGAUCCUAAAAAAGGUUCUACAGCUCUACCAUCGAGAGCAUACUGACUGGUUGCAUCACUGCCUGGUAUGGCAACUGCUCGGCCUCCGACCACAAGACACUACAGAGGGUAAUGCGUACGGCCCAGUACAUCACUGGGGCAAAGCUUCUUGCCAUCCAGGACCUCUAUACCAGGCGGUGUCAGAAGAAGGCCCUAAAAAUGGUCAAAUACUCCAGCUACCCUAGUCAUAGACUGUUCUCUCUGCUACCACACGGCAAGUGGUACCGGAGCGCCAAGUCUAGGCCCAAGAGGCUUCUAAACAGCUUCUACCCCCAAGCCUUAAGACUCCUGAUCCUGAACAUCUAAUCAAAUGGCUACCCAGACUAUUUGCAAUGCCCCCCCUAUUUUACACCUCUUCUACACUCUGUUGUUAUCAUCUAUGUAUAGUCACUUUAAUAACUCUACCUACAUGUACAUAUUACCUCAAUUACCUCGACUAACUGGUGCCGACUAAUCGACUAACCACAUUAACUCUGUACCGGUAACCCCUGUAUAUAGUCUCACUAUUGUUAUUUUACUGCUGCUCUUUAAUUACUUGUUACUUUUAUUUCUUAUUCUUAUUCAUAUUUUUUUGUGUUUUUUUUUUAAAACUGCAUUGUUGGUUAGUGGCUCGUAAGUAAGCAUUUCACUGUAAGGUUGUACCUGUUGCGCAUGUGACAAAUAAAAUUUGAUUUGAUUUGAUACCACCUAUGUAGCUAUAGCUCAAACACAGACCAAAUGGCAGCUUACCUUGUAAGAUGUUUACUGUUUGGUGAAAACAUUGUGUAAAAUAAACAUUUUGACUCUCGGGGCUGGUGAUCAAUAACGGUUGGUCACAGACAGACAAAUAAGACAUCCUCAUAAUCUGUGGAGUCUCGGCUUUAGGUAUGUAUCAACGCAUUCUGUGUUUAAUUCCUUUAUGCUUCACAAUG
Oncorhynchus tshawytscha (Chinook salmon) is the source of this 1478-nucleotide long non-coding RNA. The record is from Ensembl. Lineage: Eukaryota; Metazoa; Chordata; Actinopteri; Salmoniformes; Salmonidae.